RNAcentral lists this ribosomal RNA (116 nucleotides) under Paraclostridium sordellii. Lineage: Bacteria; Bacillati; Bacillota; Clostridia; Peptostreptococcales; Peptostreptococcaceae. The record is from RNAcentral.
UGGUUACUAUAGCAAAGAGGAUACACCUGUUCCCAUUCCGAACACAGAAGUUAAGCUCUUUAGCGCCGAUGGUACUUGGUGGGAAGCUGCCUGGGAGAGUAGGACGUAGCCGCAUA